RNAcentral lists this ribosomal RNA (233 nucleotides) under uncultured bacterium. Its description in RNAcentral is "partial 16S ribosomal RNA". It matches the Rfam family "Bacterial small subunit ribosomal RNA", at positions 103 to 334 of the family's 1533-position model. The record is from RNAcentral.
CGGGUGAGUAACGCGUGAGGAACCUGCCUCAAAGAGGGGGACAACAGUUGGAAACGACUGCUAAUACCGCAUAGGCCCACGGCUCGGCAUCGAGCAGAGGGAAAAGGAGCAAUCCGCUUUGAGAUGGCCUCGCGUCCGAUUAGCUAGUUGGUGAGGUAAUGGCCCACCAAGGCGACGAUCGGUAGCCGGACUGAGAGGUUGAACGGCCACAUUGGGACUGAGACACGGCCCAG